Molecule: long non-coding RNA, 285 nt
Organism: Perognathus longimembris pacificus (Pacific pocket mouse)
Lineage: Eukaryota; Metazoa; Chordata; Mammalia; Rodentia; Heteromyidae
Exons: 2
Source: RefSeq, a predicted model, not a curated record
GAGGAAGUAGACAACAUCUUUAAAUAAGCAAACAAAAUUAGAGUCUAUUUUUUAAAACCGCAUCUAAUAAUAACAAUAGCUUCUGUGGUGUUUUCUGCCAAAGAAAGGAGGAAAAACCAUUGCAUAUGGUAUCAAUAAGAACAAAGAUUAUGAAAUAAGAAGUUGGGUUGAGUUUGACCAAAGCACAUCAUAAUAUGUAUGCACAGGCAUGUCACAAUAGAACCCAAUGGAGGGGUUAAAAUUCACUAAGAAAGAAUAAACUUCACUUUAAUUCUUUUCAGAGCA